GGGAGUUGACCUAUACCCUGAUAUCUGUACUCAGAACCAUAACAUGCAGGUGGUCUGUACAAGCUAUACCCUUAUGGUUGAUUGUCUGUUUCAGGGUUCAUGAAUUACAGAAAAACAUGCUGAUCAAAAUACACCAGGACCAUCAAGGGAUGGAAAAGUCAAAACGACGUCCAGAAACAGUGUUAUUCUGGCCCAAGAUGAAUGGUGAUAUAGAGCAGACAGUCAGAGCCUGUGGAACAUGCCAGAAAUACAGGUCAAAACAAAGCAAAGUGUGAGGACAGACGCUGGGAGACGAGAAGCAAGUACAGGGAGUGUAACAUUUAAUAAUAAAACAGACAGGAACAAAACACCGACAGCGUCUGGACAACGGAAACACCUCAACAUUACUGGUGACACGGGGAUCAACCUGAGGAACAGACAGAUACAGGGGAGGAAAUUAAACAGUGAUGAAGAGGGACACCCAACUGGGUGAGCCUGACGGGCUGGCCGAGAUGCGGGAUCCUGUCAAGCCGGCUGAGGCCAGGGAUCAUGAUGAGCCAGCUGAGGCCAGGGAGCAUGAUGAGCCGGCUGAGGCCAGGGAGCAUGAUGAGCCAGCCGAGGUGCGGGAUCCUGUCAAGCCGGCUGAGGCCAGGGAUCAUGAUGAGCCAGCUGAGGCCAGGGAGCAUGAUGAGCCGGCUGAGGCCAGGGAGCAUGAUGAGCCAGCUGAGGCCAGGGAGCAUGAUGAGCCGGCUGAGGCCAGGGAGCAUGAUGAGCCAGCUGAGGCCAGGGAGCAUGAUGAGCCAG
Oncorhynchus tshawytscha (Chinook salmon) is the source of this 783-nucleotide long non-coding RNA. The record is from Ensembl. Lineage: Eukaryota; Metazoa; Chordata; Actinopteri; Salmoniformes; Salmonidae.